UCCCGCUCAAACUAAAACCCUAAAUCAAAACACGCGUAGAUGGCUCUGUUCCUUCUCCUACAAUCUUCUUCCCCUCUUUUCCUUCAUCCGCUCUUUUAGCUGAACAUCAAUUAAUCAAAGAUUGAUACAAAUUCCGGACUUUCCAUAAUUUUCAAAUCAGUUUCCUUUUAAUCUUAAUUCCAAUUACAAACCCUAUGCCAAACGAUUUCACCAUCAAUCUUUCUGUCAAUUGUUUUCUUCAAACCUAGAAUUGAUUGUUAUUUGUUGAGGCUUUAUCAGGAGUAAGUUAUCCUCCAUUGAUCGUCGCCUCCUCCAAACCCUAAUCCUAAAUUUGUUGUCCUCCAUUGAUCAUCACCUCCACUUACAUGUUUUUGGUGAUUUUUGGUGUGUUUAGCAUUAAUUGAAUCUUCUAGAAUCAAUGAAGGAGAAGAAAUCAAUGAUUGGGAAUCCAAUUACGAGGCCUGAGCAAUCACACAAUGCCAAUGGUGCAAUGGAAUACGGGCUUGAAAGUGCAGAUCUUCUUAAAAUCAGGAAAGGUGCUGGAGUGAAGGACCCUUUCUGGAUUCCACGACCUGGUUGGAAGCCCGGUGAUUCUCCGGUCCAGGAUCCCAUUCUGGCAAAAGAAAUCAGGAAUCUCCAAGAAUUUGAAGGUCUAAUCGAUGGUUUAAUUUUUUGGUCCCUUCACAAGGAUUAUGAGGAGGAAUUAGGAAAACUAAAAAGGGAGGUCCAGGAGUUGAGUUCAAAGAAAGAUGAAAGUCAAGCUAUUGUGGUUUCCGAACAAGUUGACCCGGUUGCAAAGAGAUUAGAUGCUACUUCAAGGUAUUUCAAGAGAUUGGGUAGCUUAGGAUUUUGGGGACAACUUGCUUGUACAAUUGUAGCUGCAGUCAUCCUUUCCUUUUCUGUUGUCAUCACUGGGGGAAAAUCACAUCACCGGCUACCUUCUAUGCUACGGCUGGUGGUAUUGUAGCUGCUUUCCUCUCGGUGUUCUGGUCGUUUGGUUAUAUUCGUCUUUCUGACAGGCUUAAGAAAACCACCAAUGACCCUUCAAAGAUUCCUUUCCAGCUUGGUUUAUCGAAAAUGGAUCUCAGGAAGAUGGUGAAAUCAAGUUUAUCAGGAGUUGACAAGCACAUUGGUGAAUGGUGGGUCGAUGGCGCCGAUGUUUUUUGGGUUAUUGGGAAGACCGUUAAUGAUGUUUGUUAGCGGCGAUAGUCGCCGAUCUGUAGAUCAUGAGGUGAUUUGGUCUCAAAUCCACUGUAGGAAGCUCGAGUAAAUGUUAUGCGUGCUGCAAUCUUUGAAACAUUUCCUGAACAAAUAGGAGCUUGCUACAGAGAUUUCCUCUUUGCUCUGGAGUUACUACUGUUCAACGAGAUAGUGGAUGAUUGGGGGUUUAAAGGGUGGUUGUGUUUAGAUGAUCUUCAAGUACAUAUCUAAUGAGGCUCAGUUUUUGAAGGCGUACGAUGAGUUGCGGCGCCUAUGGUGAUCGCAGGUUUCUAUAUGAUUUUAAGCUCGAUGGAAUGGUUUUGGUGUAAUGGAUUUGUAAUUUAGCCGCAGUUGAUGUUUUUGUUAAUCUUAUUUUGAUUUUAUUGAUGUUCUUUUGGUUAGAUUAGAGGAGAGAGAGAGAGAGAGAGAGAGAGAGAGAAAAGGCACACAAGGCGGGUCAAGAAACUCAUAAUGGGUAGUCUACGAUCUUCUCUCCUCAUCUUCUCACAUCAUGAGGUUCCAGAGGCCGAGAUGAUCCUGCAACUUGGGCAAAUGAAGUUGGCAAUAGCUCGAGAACCACUUGAGAUAUUUCUAAUAAUUGGGAAACAAUCUUCCAAAGAACUCAAAAAAAAGUUGAAGUUCACUAAACCGCACGAUGACAACAGUAACCGACAGACGAAGACGUUGCGGAUCUCCGAUGUAGAGUGCACGGUGGCUACUUGUAGUGAGUUGUCGAAGGAUGAAGUUGAUUUUGUGCAUUUGCUGGAACAGUGGGUUGAGAGGUUGAAUUCGUUUUCUUUUUUUUUUUUUUUUUUUUUUGCUGUUGACAAAGAGGAAGACUAUAUUCUCAAAUUGAACCGAAGUUUAAAAGUCAUACAGCCACUCAGUGAGGCAGAUGAACGAAGGAAAAUGGUGCUUAGUCAGAUAUUUUCAUCUCAAGCACGUGAAAGACGAAGGCGAAAAUUUGUAUGGAUUGCUUGCUUUUGUAGUAAAGUUGACUAUGUAGUUUGUAUGAUUAUUGGUAUCUAGCAAUGCCAUGAAGCAAUAUGAGAUAACCACGGAUUCUAGAUGUUUCGUUUAUGCUUGAUACGCCGUUUGUUUCCUUUUUACCGGAAGUGCAAAGUGCGGAUAGGAAGGUUCCCUUUAGAGAGAAGUUCAUAUACACUGUCAUCUCUCUUUUCAUCUUUCUGGUGUGCAAUCAGCUUCCUCGGUAUAUGAUACUCGGGUUAGACCAUUUUUUGCACAAUAAGGGUAUUUUAGUCAUUUCAAGCCAGACCUGUUGGUUUGCUUUUGGUCAUGUAAUUGUUAUAGUGCAGGCCUACUUGUGUGGAGUAUGUUAGGUAGUCAAAUAUCAUCACUUUGCCUAGAAGACAAAAAAUAUGAUGAAGUUGAUUGCUUUUUUGUUGAUGCAUUAUUGAAGGAAUGUGCCUUCUGGUCAACUGGAAACUAAGCUUUUGCUACAAAAAAGUCAAAUUUGAUACGGGUAUUUGAUUGGGAUAACUAACUCAAGUGGGUAGUUAACAUAAAUGUUAUAAAUUAAAUGAACUUUUCUUGCAUUUCUAUGUUUC
RNA transcript from Helianthus annuus (common sunflower), 2768 nucleotides. RefSeq lists it as uncharacterized. The record is from RefSeq and is a predicted model, not a curated record. The transcript is spliced from 14 exons. NCBI's taxonomy places the organism in Eukaryota, Viridiplantae, Streptophyta, Magnoliopsida, Asterales, Asteraceae.